RNAcentral lists this non-coding RNA (24 nucleotides) under Drosophila melanogaster (fruit fly). The record is from RNAcentral. Lineage: Eukaryota; Metazoa; Arthropoda; Insecta; Diptera; Drosophilidae.
UGAUAUACGAAUUUAUUGAUGGUU